CUGGGAGGGGGGGUAAAAACAAAGCCCACAUUGUGUUUGUGUGGAUUGGAAUUGUGGAUAUUUUAAUUGGGAUUUUUCAGAUGUGCCAGAAAGCAAAUGUAUGGUCAAAUGCUCUUUGUAUUCAGUAGGAGAAAGAUAUCCAAUUCUUACAACCCAAUACUUGUGGAAUUUAUAGAGGGAGAAACCAUUACUGGACCCGCAGAGGUCUUACUGGUUUCAUUGCUUUAGGAACUGUGGUUUAAGUAUCUCUAAAAGUCUCAGUCGUCUUCCUGAUACAUAUGAUGGCACUUACACGAGGCUUUGUUGGCCAUAAUAAGCUGACCAUUAGCUUCUAUGGAGAGGCUAGCUCAGCAUUCAUAGCGACCACCACCAUUGAAUAUAAAGGAGCUGUCUUCACAUAAUAGACUUCCAUGUGAAUUUCCGUGUUCUGGAUGGGGGUGCUUGGAUCAACAAGUGCUUUGUUUGUGUGUCAAGGUUCUUCGUUCUGACAUACAAAAACAAGGAAUAAAGGAUUCUAGUGUCUUUUGUUGCAGAUUGUUCAGACUCGGUGUGCUAUUAUAGCUAUGACAAGAACACACUUCAAAUUUGUGUUUGAAAACAGCUGUGGUUAACUUUUAUCUGCCUUAACAUUCUGAAAGCUCAUGUCAUUUUUUUUAAGCGUAGAACGUGUUCCAAUAACCUUUGACCUUUAACUGAAACUCAAUCACUCUACACAGUUAAAAAGAUAUUUUGGCAUCCUUAGGUCUUUUCUUUCUUAAACUGCCAGGAAAAUGAUACUUCAUCUCCUCUUUCUUGUGAUAAUGUUUAUCUUGGUUUUCAAUCCAGGUAGCGUCUGUGUCAGAAGCCGACAAGCUGCCUGUACUGUAGCUCCUUUGGAUAGAUCAUCUUAUCUUGAUGCCUUUGCAAAGUUUAUCCAUAAAAUGUUACAAGUCGUGUGAGUGAUCGCUUUUCUCUCCAGAAUCUCCGUCUUCACUUCAAUCUUCCUGAGCAUCAGGUAAACAAUAAAUCCUCUCGAGGCAUAUGCUCCUUCAAGGGCCAGAACAAUUAAAAUGUUUCAGAGGAGGGUAUAGCAUUGUUAUGAGGCAAUCUAAUCAAGCAUUAACACUCCAGGUUUUCUGCCAAGGUGAUGUCAUUGAUGUGAGACACAGGCAGGCCAAAGGGAUGCCAUAUUACAAUGAUAAUGGCAGUGGGGAGAACACAGGACUGACUUGGAAUUGGAAGUGUUUGGAAGAUCAGAGUCAAAGUCAUUGAUUAUGUGUUGCUUAAUUGAUUCUGUGCUGCUUAAUGCCACAGAUGGAAUGAGGUGGCCACAGUCACAAUGUGGUCAUGCUGUGAGCCAGUGAUGUGAGCCAGAAAAGAAAAGAAAAAAGACUUUGGAUAACAGUUUGCUUCCGUUUGGAGAUUCAAGCAGUUCACUUUGGUUUGGGUCCAAAGCAGAGGUUUGCUGUGGUUCACUUCUCAAAGUUUCAGAUACCUUUCUAACCAGCUAUAAUGGGGAAAGGCAAGGUAAGGUAAGGGACGCAGCUGGAGCUGUGGUCAGAACCACUGAGCCUCUUGGGCUUGCUGAUCAGCAGGUUGGUAGUUCAGAUCCGCACAACAGGGUGAGCUCCCAUUGCUCUGUCCCAGCUUCUGCCAACCUAGCAGUUCGAAAGCACACCAGCACAAGUAGAUAAACAGGUACCGCUGUGGCGGGAAGGUAAACGGCAUUUCCGUGUGCUCUGGUUUCCAUCACGGUGUUCUGUUGUGCCAGAAGCAGUUUAGCCACGUUGGACACAUGACCUGGAAAACUGUCUGUGGACAAACACUAGCUCCCUUGGCCUGAGAUGAGCCAAGCAACCCCAUAGUCGUCUUUGACUGGACUUAACCAUCCAGGGGUAACAUACCUUGACCUUGACCUUAAUGGGAAAUCAAUAAACAGCUAUACUUUUUAUUUAUUUGACACAUCUGGAUGAAAUCUGUCCCUUUUGAUUAGAUUAUGCCAAAUUUCAGAUGGAUAGAUCCAGUGACGUGGGUUGUAUGCAAGGUGUGCUUUAAUGUUAGGGUUGUUGUUGAAAUAAAUUCUCCUUCUCUGCUUUCCCUUGUAUGGAGAGCUUAGGAACACAGGAAGCUGCCUAAUGUCAAGUCAGACCUUUCGUCUACCUAGCUCAGGACUGUCUCUUCUGAAGAUCUCCAGACCUGGUAGUUUUUUCCUGAAUCAACUCUAACUUUCCUCUUCCAUCUGCCAUAACACUCUCAUAGAAGUCCGAGGUCAGUCCCACGGCUAGAAUUUGUUUUGAAAUGGAAAAUUCCCCCAGCCCAGUUGUUAUUGUAGCAAUGUCAAACCUCCUCUAGGGGGACACAGUAACAGACAAAGCUUGCAACUUUAAGAAGAAAGUAAUCUUUAUAAAUCCCCCAAUUCACAAAAAAGGAACAGUUUCAAUUGCACUUAAUCAAUUACUUUAAAACCAGGAGAAGUCCAGAAACACUGUAUCUCUCUUGCAGAGUUAGCUGUCAAAAGUACUCUGUUUACCAAUAGUGCUUUUCACAGAACAGCAUUCCUUGUCCCAAGGCAGUCCAUUCCCAGGUUCUAAGCGGUGGAUUUUAGCUUCCUUUCCCUCUUUUUUUGCAGAUAAAUACAGUUCAAACCUUUCCCCCCUCCUCUCCUGGAAACCGGAGGGGAGAGCGCUUUUCUGAUGUUAGGAUUUGCGUCCUUUUUCAAACGUCUUUCAAAGUUUCCGCUUACAGUCUCUUUGCUUUGAUCUGUUUACAAGAAAUGGAAGGCGGACUUCCUGUUUAUGCCUCCCCGCUUCGGUUCCGAAUUAAUUGUUUUCUCCCUUUAAAUCCAAUUUUAUCCUACUCACGGGUAGUUACUUUUGAAGUCGAAUUGUCCCAGGAAAAAGUCAGCGCUCUCCGAUAACGGCUGUGCGGCUUCAGUCCGCGGAAGAAGCAGUCGACUCUCAGCACCGCGCCGCUCACCCCGUUUCGCUCCGGAGCCCAAAAAUGGGUUCCUUCACAGAUUGGGGGGGGGCGCAAAAGGUGCCCGCCGAGUCCCACGUUCACAAGCUUCACCUGCCUGUGAUUUUUGAAGGGUCCCCGCUUCGCCGCAGCGGUGAGACCCGAUCCCGCGGAGCUGGUCCCUCAGAAAGUCAGAGGGAAUCUGCCAUUACCGAUGGCGCCAACCCGGAAGUCCACUGUACUGAAGAUCUCUAGGAUUGCACUUAGUGGGAUAUUCCCUGCAUGGUAAGCAUGUCCUAUGUGCUCUACCACUGAACCAUAUCCUGUCCCCUUCAUUUUUAUGAGUGGGGACCACCUGCAAAGAAGGAAUUCCCCACAGGCAUAUUUUUUAAAAUAUAUUUUUUAUUAGUUUUCAAUUACAAUCCAAUAAUAGUUUCAUUAUAACAAUACCAGUUUAUAAUACCAUUACUAAUACCAUUUGUUCAAAUACCGAAUUAUAUAAUUUAGAUAAAGUGCCCCCCACGUGCUAGAAUUGAUGGUUUGAUUAUUUUCUUCAUUUCUGCAUUCCAUAAUCUUAUUAAUUUCAAUUACAUUCCGGUCAUAAUAAUAAUCCCUUAUACAACAACUGCAAUAUUAAUAACUUCUAUUUGUGUUGACACAGUAAAUGAUUUAUAAUACUACAAAUGAGGCACUCAGACUAUAUCCUUGUUCUUUCUAUGUGUGGCAGUUAUUCUGUCUGUGGCAUUUUUUCCUAUCCUUAUAAAAUGCUGUGCCUAUCUUUUUCUGGUUGCUGCUGUUAUCCAUCAUGCCUUGGGCGGAGCUGAUAUCCCAUUGUUCCAGAAAUUUCUCCAGGCAUAUUUGAGGAGAUUUAUAUGAUCAUGUUCCAUGAAUUUAAAUUUCCUCAUGAAAUUUGUGUUAGGAAAAAACAUGUUUUAAUUCAUAUGUAAAUAGGAAAGUGAGUUUCCCAGUCCAUGUAUCAGUCUUGCCCCCAAUAUUUUGCACAAGCAAAAUCUGGGGUUGAAUUUGGGACUCCUCCUAUCUCUGAGAAGCCUUAAGAACAGGCUCCAACAACAACAACAAUUUAUUUAUACCCCGCCCAUCUGGCUGGGCUUCCCCAGCCACUCUGGGCGGCUUCCAACAAAAUAUUUAAAUAUAGUAAUGCAACAAACAUUAAAAGCUUCCCUAAACAGGGCUGCCUUCAGAUGUCUUCUAAAAGUCUGGUAGGUGUUGUUCUCUUUGACAUCUGGUGGGAGGGCAUUCCACAGGCCCCUAGGUGCCUGGGCAUCCACAAAUUUUAAACGAAGGGGCCAGGACCCCCAGAUUCUAUUCUGUGACAUGCACAUGCCCUACAACAGGGUUGUCCAGCUGUUUGACCGCAAUCAGCAGGUUGAUCCCCGGACGAUCAUAGUUGAUCGCUGGAUCGUUAUCACUCGCAUUGUUUAGAAUCAUGUCUUCGCCCCUCUCGGUCUUUUCCAGCGCCACGUUUAGUGUGUGACCCUUUGUUGUCUGCUGUAGCGCUGCUUUAGUCUGUUAGUGGCUGUGUUGUUGGUGAGCGAUUUAUUUUAAUUCUGCACACUUACUGUUUAAAAAAAGGUCAUCAACUUUGUAAAGCUCUCCCCACUAUAAAAAGGUCAAGAACUUUUUGUUGUUGUUUAGUCAUGUCCGACUCUUCAUGACCCCAUGGACCAGAACACGCCAGGCACUCCUGUCUUCCACUGCCUCCCCCAGUUUGGUCAAACACAUGCUGGUAGCUUCCAGAACACUGUCCAACCAUCUCGUCCUCUGUCAUCCCCUUCUCCUUGUGCCCUCCAUCUUUCCCAACAUCAGGGUCUUUUCCAGGGAGUCUUCUCUUCUCAUGAGGUGGCCAAAGUAUUGGAGCCUCAGCUUCAGGAUCUGUCCUUCCAGUGAGCACUCAGGGCUGAUUUCUUUAAGAAUGGAUUGGCUUGAUCUUCUUGCAGUCCAUGGGACUCUCAAGAGUCUCCUCCAGCACCAUAAUUCAAAAGCAUCAAUUCUUCGGCGAUCAGCCUUCUUUAUGGUCCAGAAGCUCAACCACUUUGACCUGCCCCCCUAAAAGAGGCUCAACAACUUAGGCCUUCCCCCUAAAAAAAGUUCAACAACUCUGAACUCCCCCCCCCCCACCAAAUGGGUAGAUCACUCCCAGUCCCCCCCCCCCCGGAGUAGAUUGCAGUAUCUUGGGAGUUGGAUGUCCCUGCCCUACAACAUGCACACAUGACGUCAGCAUGCUGGAGUGUGUGCCGACAUGAUGCACAGAUGUGCACAUGCCACAAUGACGUCGGCAUUGUGCCUGUCACAGGGCACCCAUUGUCACAGGGGCAAGGCCUGGCCUCAAGAAAAGCAAUGCUGUACUGUAUAGAACAUUAAUGUCUCACAUCAAAUAUAACGGAUCUGUAGAAAGGACUUUAUGAUCUGAAAAUAGAGAUGAUGUAUGUACUUCUGUAACCCAAUAAAAUCUUUAAUCAAAACAAUUUUUUAAGAAGAUAAGCAGUGCUUCUAUUGAUGCAGUUACUGUUUACUACUGCUGCUGCUACUUAUUAAUACUAUCGCCUUUUCUUUCUGGAAUACAAUGGUACCUCGGGUUACAGAUGUUUCAGGUUACAGACUCCGCUAAACCAGAAACAGUACCUUGGGUUAAGAACUUUGCUUCAGGAUGAGAACAGAAAUCGUGCGGCAGUGGUGCAGCGGCAGCAGGAGGCCCCAUUAGCUAAAGUGGUACCUCAGGUUAAGAACAGUUUCUGGUUAAUAACGGGCCUCUGGAACGAAUUAAGUUCUUAACCCGAGGUACCACUGUACAGCCUACAGAACAAAGACAAGAGGCACACCUGUUGUUGCAUCCACGUUUGUCUUUGGCCCCACCCAUGUAGCCCCAGGAACAUUCCCCAUGAGGCAAUAUGGCUCUUGGGCUGCAAAAGACCCCUCACACCUGUUUUAAAGCAGUUCAGAAAGGCUGGCAUUUCUCAGGGGUGUGUGCAUUUCCUAUGCAUUGCUAGGUAGUCGUCGGAUUUUUGCCCAAAGCAAAAUUCAAAAUGAAUUUGGGAUUUUUCCUCAGGAGAAACAUGAAAGAAUGUAAAAGGUAGCCCCCAAAAGACCAAAAAAUGCUUCAGAGGUUUCUCAGGAGAGUCUCAUACCCCCCACAAACACCCGUGAUCAAAACAUGUGCACUGCCAUUCAGUUAUUGCAAAAUGCCUGCUUUUUGACGUGGGUAUUCUGUAUCCAAGAGCUAUGAAAUGAAUAUUUCACACAAGUUACUCAACCAUUUUCUUAAAAGAAAACUAAUUUUCGAGUCACCUUUCUGGGGCAAACAUCUAAACAUUGUUUCUUCAUGUAGCUUAAGUAAAAGUUGAUUUGGGAAGUCAAACUGAGGUUUUGAAGAAGUUAUGUAAAGUAGGAGCUAAAGUAAUAUAAUAUGCUCUGUGUUUAACCCCUAGGAGUCUAGACAAUUUCUGGUAAGGGAAUUUAUGUUAAGAAGCGGUUCUGAAGGACAUGUUGACAGAAGAUAAUAUUAUUUAUGCUUCAAAACCAUCACGAUUUGCAGACUUUGGAUUAAUGUCACUGUUUGUCAAACUGUUAUGCCAGGCAGAGCAAAGCAUCAGUUAUUUUGGACUUUUUAUUUACAGCAUUAUAUUAUUCUUUUUUGUAAAUACGUUUAUUGGUUUUCAUAGAUAUAUAACAAGAUAGAGCUAGACAAACAAAACUUUAAACAUAAACAAAACCUGGUCCCCAAUCUUGCCAGUGACCCAAAAAAGUAUUCAUUUAUAUAUAUUAUUUUUCUCCUCUGUUCCCACAUUCUUGACAUUACCCUGGAAACAAACUGGUGUAAACGAAAACUAAAAUGGCUCCCAAGCCCUCCUCAAAACAAGUCCUCAGAAGCAGGAGCAGUCCUACCAUUAAUGGGGUGAGUUGGCUCACCUCGGUGGCAGAUUUUGGGGUAUCUGAAGGCAGCCCUGUUUAGGGAAGUUUUCAAUGACUGGUGUUUUAAUGUAUUUUUAAUCUUUUGUUGGAAGCCGCCCAGAGUGGCUUGGGAAACCCAGCCAGAUGGGUGCGGUAUAAAUAAUUUCUUCUUCUUCUUCUUCUUCUUCUUCUUCUUCUUCUUCUUCUUCUUCUUCUUCUUCUUCCAUUAAAAGGUCCUACAUGGGUUUAGUUUAUUGAUGCAUUUUUACUGCAUUUUGGAUUCUCUGCCUCAGGAAGCAAAAUGUCUUGUUCAGAAGGAUGACAAUGAAAACUAUUGUGAUACUACUACUACUACUACUACUACUACUACUACUAAUUAAUUAUUUAUACCCCGCCCAUCUGGCUGGGUUUCCCCAGCCACUCUGGGCAGCUUCCAACAAUGAUUAAAAAUACAAUAAAACAUCAGUCAUUAAAAACUUCCCUUUAAUGUGAAUGAUUUGCCUCAGGUGUUUGAGUGAAGACAAAGAACCCGCUAAAAGUAGCCUUCCUAUUUCUUUAUUUCUUAACAGGACUUUCAUAAAAAAUAUUGGGGGGGGGGGCUUGUGAUAUUCCAGCUGUUGCUUGACUCCUAUCAUCCCUAACCAUUGGUCAUGCUGGCUGAGGCAGAUGGGAGUUGAAGCCCACCAACAUCUGGAAGACCACAGGCUCUCCAUCCUUUGCAACAGACCCAAGGCACGCCUACUAAGAUUUUAAACUUUUCCUCUAAAUAGCAUACACACAGCAUCAUAGCAGUCCUCUCUGGCUGUGAUCCUGUACACACCUAGCUAGGAGUAAGUCCCCUUGAACAUGAUGAGGCUUACUUCUGAGUACUAAUCACACAUAGGAGUGCACUGUCAGUUUCAAAAGCAUCUUCCGAUGUGUCAUGGGGAGGGAGCAGCUGUUCAAAAGCCCCAUAUGCCCAAAGCACUCUUUGGUACGCAGAAACAUUUGUGGGGUUCUUUGGCUAUUCAACACUUAGCAACCCUCCUCAUUCAAUAUGGGUUUCACAUACACACCUGCUAACAUAUUUUGUCUGUGAAUUCGAAUCUUUAGAUAUUGGAAAUAAUGUGUUUUGGCAGAUUUUCCCAAGAACAUAGACUCACACUCAAACUUUAAAAUGAGGAUGUUUAAGGAAGAGAUAUAUACAGAGAGAGGAAAAAAGAAAAUUAAAAAAAAAUAAUUAACAAUUCAACGGGGAAUGGCUCAGCAGCAAUACGUAACUUUUAAAAUUAUGGGAAUAGCCCAGUAGCAAUAUGCAUUUAUGUGGUGUGAGUUAAUUAGCUAAAUAACCCUAAUGAUAACUAAACUAAUACACACCAAUAACAUAAACGUAUGACUAGUAACUCACCUCCUCUGAGGUGACCAACAGAACUCUCAAGGCUACAAUUUUUAAAGGGUCUUAAGCAGCCUCCUUGCAAAGUGAACGAAAAUAGAGCCAUUAAAAAAAUUAUAUAGGGAAUACUGUCUCCCAGGUUCCCAGUGUUAGUCAACCUCCUAACAGGCCUUAAUUUAUUUGACCAACCUGUACCCUCACCCUUCCCAGCCUCACAGCAGCAAGCAGAAUAGCCUUACACAAUAAUUAAACUAUAAAAGCUGCAAUUAUUUGUUUAUAUGUAGAAUAUCUAAAUCAUUCUGCUAUUAGAAAGCAUUCCAAUUGGUAUACAAAAUAUUGUUAUUUUGUCCACCGACAGCAGCGAGCUUUCAAUAACCUUUUAAGGUAUAUAUCCAGAGGCAGGGAUAUUCAUUUAUAUGUACUUUGCUCUGCAGUUGAUGGGCGGUUAGAGGAUUCACAGCAGCUAUGUGAUUCCCACCUUUUACUGCCUCCCAAGAAAAUAAGAGUGAAAUCAUCAUUGCUGUAAUCAGUUGAACCCGCUGAAUUUGUAUUGAAACCUGUACUGGGGUAGUGCUUCAGUGGGUGCAAUCCUAUGCACUCUCAUUUAAGAGCAAGUCUCAUUAAACUUACUGGAGCUUGCUUCUGAGUGGACACAUAUCAGAAUGCACUGUAAAAGUACCAGUUUUGGGUUAGGGAUGAUAGUGAACAGACCAUACAGGAACCAAACUGAUUCAGAUGCAGCAGAGAUGGGGAAUCUGUCACCCUGCAGAAGUUCUUGACCAGGCAUGGGCAAACUCAGCCCUCCAGAUGUUUUGGGACUACAGUUCCUAUCAUCCCUUACCACUGGUCCUGUUAGCUAGGGAUCAUGGGAGUUGUGUUAAGAAUUCCACCUUAAGGAGCAGACGUGUGGAACUGUUGUGUUUCACAUGUCUGUUUACAUUCCAGCACUGCUUGCUGGGAACUUCCAUUGUGUGUAUUGCUUUUGCUUUUCCCUGUCUCUCUAAGAAGACGAAGAGAGAGAGACAACAUGUUUCUUUGUCCUGAUUUAUGAUUAAUAAAUCUGUAGUUGUAGUAUGCUUUCACAAGCCUCACGCCUAUUCUGUGUGCGCAGUUCAGUCUGCUGAUAGUGUGCCCUGGCUUUGAAGCCCGGGUCGCUGAUUUACGUUGGACCAGAGGCCGAUGGGUCUUCGCAGCGGGAUGGCUGGAAGGAGACAGCCCAGCUGGGGCUAGCCAGCUGGCCUUGCAGCCCUCUGCAUGCCGACAAGUUGUAGGCCCAAAACAUCUGGAGGGCCGAGUUUGACCCACAGCUGCCACCAUCCCUGACCAUUGGCUAUGCUGGCUGGAGCUGAUGGGAUCUGGAUUGCAACAACAUGUGGGGAAAGCAUAACUUUCCCAUUCCUGAGAUAAGGGACCCAAAAAUCCAAGUCUGUUUGCAAAACAUGUUUAGAGGUCAAACUCCAGCUCACACCGUGUGAGGAAGGGCUGCAGCGCCACCAUUGUUCUCACAGGAGCCAACUCCUAAGGGCCGUGGAGCCUUCGGCCCUUACAAUAAAACAUUUGAGGGGGCCGGGCCCCCACAAAGUUGAUGGGCAUUCCCAUUCAAAUGGUGUGUGUGCACUGCAUCGUGUGGUUGAUUUUGCAGGGCGGGGCUUACCUGCCCCCCCCCAUAUUUUAUUCCAGUUGGCACCCCUGCUUGUUCUACUAUACAGACAGCUUCUGAUAGAAGAUGCACUGGGAUGACCACACAGAGACCACAUUUGUGUGGUUCCCUUUCCUCGAAAAAACAUCAGGCAAGCCAGGACUUUGUGUGAUUCUGUGCUGAUGUGGAGAGCUACAUCUCCACACUGAAUGCUGUGAAUGGGAGAAGCUCACACUUCUCUACCGUUACACCACAUUACUGUGAUUUCCAAAUAUAUGUAAGACUUGGUAAAUAUCAAUCACUGCCAGAUGCUGUUCCUUAUUGCUUUCCAAUUUAUUUGUCAUAAAAUUUAUAUACUGCUUGACUGUAGAAAACAACAACACUUCAAGAGGUUAUUGCAUGGCAGUGGAAAGAACAGAGAUAAUAAGAGAGUCUGAGGAAGAGCUGUACCACAGUAGAGUACAAGCAACUCCCCAUUUAUGUGUGGGGUUACAUGCCAAGGCACCACAUAUAAUUUGUAACUCAUAUAUGAUUGGUAACUCAUAACUGCAUAUAUCUGAAACACCAAAAGGCAAAAACGUCCCUUUUUAAGCAGGCCUUUGGUUGAUUUGAUUGACAUCCUACGCCCUUUUAAAAUGUAGGGGUUUUUUUGGGGGGGGUGUUAUUGGGUUGUUGUUUUUAUUUUGAUUAUAUAUAUUGUGGUUUUAUAUUUUGAUUUUGUUCUGUGAACUGUCCUGAGACCUCCGUGUAUAGGGGGGUAUAUAAAAAGGUGAAAAAAAGAGAAAAAAAGGUAAAGGACCUCUGGACAGUUAAGUCCAUUCAAAGGCGACUAUGGGGUUGCAGUGCCCAUCUCAGUUUCAGGUCGAGGGAGCCGGUGUUUGUCCACACACAGCUUUCCGGGUCAUGUGGCCAGCAGGACUAAACUGCUUCUGGCACAACAGAAUACUGUGAUGAAAACCAGAGCGCAUGGAAAUGCCAUUUACCUUACCGCUGCAGCGGUACCUAUUUCUCUACUUGCACUGGUGUGCUUUUGAACUGCUAGGUUGGCAGGAGCUGGGACAGAGCAACGGGAGCUCACUCCAUCAUGGGGAUUUGAACCACUGACCUUCUAAUCGGCAAGCCCAAGAGGCUCAGUGGUUUAGACCAUAGUGCCACCCAUGUCCCUGAUGGUAUAUAAAUUCAACAAACAAACAAACAAGCAAACAAACAAACAAACAAACACCAUUGGAAAAGCCUGCAAACAUCCUCUAAACCGCUGGAAAGCCUUGAACAACCCUUUUAAAAACCAGCAGCACUUACUAGACUGCACCAAACUCCACCACAAUUGCUCCCUCCAAACUUCCUUGCUCAAACUUAAACUCUCCACAGGCCUCAACAGUUGGUGCAAGGGCUCCUAAGAUUGUACUUGGAAAGGCUCAUGGGACAGCCAGGCACUGCUUUUGCCAUUUAUAAAGUCACUUCUUGAUUCGGUGUGAUGUGCACAUGUGCGGUCACAUGUAAAUCGGUCAUUGCCUGUGCCUGUUUUGUAUGCUGAAGGUUCCUGGUUCAGUCCCUAGUGAACUGGCAAUGUCUCCUGCCUGAAACCCUGGAGAGCUUCCAACAUUCAGUUUAGACAACACUGAACAAGAUGGACCAAUGGUCUGACUUGCUGUAGAAGAGCUUCCUGCGUUCCUAAGUGGUGAUGGGCACUGGGAAUCUCCGUCCACAGGCAAUCUUUGAAAGCCAGCUGCCAAUAAGGACAUUUCAAGCUUCUAUAGCAAUUUUGUAGCAGUUAGAUCUGGCAUGGCAUCCGAGCAACAUUCUUACAUGUACCAAAUAAAAUAAUGGCAUGGUUUUAAAAAUAGUACAUCCAAAGAUUCUCUUCCCUUCACUUGCAGAAAAGGCUAAAAAAUUGCAUAAGUGUCUUACCACAUACUUUUUUUUCUUUUUUAAAAAAUAUUGGUGUCUGCAAAACUGAAAGACAGGUUGUCUUGUACUGUUUCUUUCAGUUUUCUUUCUUUUUUCCCAAGGCAAAAGUGACAUUUCAUGUGUGAAGGCAAUCUCUUUUGCAGCAAAAUUGUGACAUUUCUCUGAAAUGCAGGGGGCAAACAAAGCCACGCAGAAAAGUGCUGUUAUUUGUAACUUUUCUGAUCUUUUCUGUAAUGGAAUAGAUCAUCGCUCUUCUAACUGAAGCAAAGCUUUGGUCGAUGGGCCCUAAGCACUAUAUAGCUAGACAAACAAUGCCAGAUCCAUCCUGGAAGUCAGGGGCAUCAAAGAAAUAGUUGAGAGUUUAGAGAGUAGUUUUCAAAUAUGAGAUCCUGAGUAUUUGUUUUCUGAGUAAACACACACACACAGACACACACAUACAGAGAGAGAGAGAGAGAGAGUUUACGUUAUCAAAAGGGCAAAAGUGUGUUUGUGCUACAGUAAACAGUAAAUAUAUAAAAAAAUAAAAUAGCAAGAUCUACAACCAGAAGGUUAGUGGUUCAAACCCAUCCAGAGGUAGCUGUGAGCAGGAUUCCUGCAUUAUAGUUGGUUGGGCUAGAUGUCUCAUGGAGUUCUUCCAACUCAACAAUUCUAUGAUUCUGUAUCUCAUCUCCAUUGUCUUUCCUUUGCCCCAAUGGAGCCACUCUUAAACAAUAUUCUAUGUAGGAUGGCGUUCAGCAGUCAGAUGAGGGGGGAAAAUGCAUGUGCAAAAGCAGGAAUUCCUUGCGUCUUCGGCUGGCAAAAUUAGGGCAGUUCAGAUAACUGUCACCAUAUGGAACCUACCCCCAUCCCCCGUCCAUAGCUCAGUGAGAGAACAUCUGCUUUGCAUUCAGUAGAUCCCAGGAUCAAUCUUUGGCAUCUCCAGGUAGAGUUGUAAGAGAUUCCUGGCUGAAGCCUUGGAGAGCCACUGCCAGUCAGUGUCCACAAAUUUGAGCUAGUAUUGGCAGCUUCCUACGUUCUUAUACUGUGUACAUGGGAAGAAGCAUAGUUCAAUGGUAAAGGUAAAGGGACCCCUGACCAUUAGGUCCAGUUGCGAACGACUCUGGGGUUGCGGCGCUCAUCUCGCUUUAUUGGCUGAGGGAGCCAGCAUACAGCUUCCGGGUCAUGUGGCCAGCAUGACUAAGCCACUUCUGGCGAACCAGAACAGCGCUCGGAAACGCUGUUUACCUUCCCACCAGAGCAGUACCUAUUUAUCUUCUUGCACUUUGACAUGCUUUCGAACUGCUAGGUUGGCAGGAGCUGGGACCGAGCAACAGGAGCUCACCCCGUCGUGGGAAUUUGAACCGCCAACCUUCUGAUUGGCAAGCCCUAGGCUCUGUGGUUUAACCCACAGCACCACUCCAAUGGUAGAAGGAACUAUAACACAGUAACAGAGCCCAAGCUUUGUAGGCAGGCAGUACCAGGCUCAGUCCGUGCCAGUGAGAGCCAGUGUGGUGUAGUGGUUAAGAGGGGUAGACUGGUAAUCUGGUGAACCGGGUUCGUGUCUCUACUCCUCCACAUGCAGCUGCUGGGUGACCUUGGGCCAGUCACACUUCUCUGCAGUCUCUCAGCCCCACUCACCUCACAGAGUGUUUGUUGUGGGGGAGGAAGGGAAAGGAGAAUGUUAGCCGCUUUGAGACUCCUUCAGGUGGUGAUAAAGUGGGAUAUCAAAUCCAAACUCCUCCUCCUCCUCCUCCUCCUCCUCCUCCUCCUCCUCCUCUUCUUCUUCAUCAUCUCUAACUUAAAGGAUCAAGUGUAAGGUAAAUGUAUCUGGCUGUCUCCUGUCUCAGAACAGACAACACUGUGUUGAACUGAAAAAAUGUUCCAUAUGGUAUCAGGCAGCUUUAUAUGCACCUGUGAUAUCAAACCACAGUUUGAGGGAGAAAGGUGGCGAGGCACCUAGGAUUCAAGGAUCUCCCACAGAAACCUACAAAUGAAGAGCUUCAUUUACUGAGGUUCCUAAAUCAAAAGUAGCUAUAUUUUCAUUACAAGUUCCUGCAUUCGCAAGUGAUUUGAGGCAGAUCAAACCAAGAACACUAAAGCGGGGUUAAUAAUACAGGCACCUAGUAAAAUGGUAUGUGGAGGGAAGAAGAAGGGAAACACUAGGUGUUUUGAUCCUGAUGGAAUAUUUCUAGAAAGGAAUAAUUCUGCUAGAGGACAGAACAGUCAGUCCCAAGCAACACAAAUGCCGUUCCAUUUCUCAGCAUUGAUCGGUCUCUGUGCCUUUAAUAUUAUUUAUAGAGAUUUUGUACAGUGAAACAUAUAUCCCUUUUUAUAUGACACAGUGUACAAUGUUGUGGAAAGCAACUGACAAGUUCUAGCUUUCCAUGUAUGUUUAAGGGAUGUCGCUCCCAUAUAUCAAGUGCCAUUUCUGCCAUUCUUAGGGCCCGGUCCAAUUAUUUGUAGUGAGUUAGAGAUGCUUUGCCAGCACUUCUGGGCCAGGAGGGAAGAAGAGGUGACAAGCAAUUGCCUUUAUGUGGAAAGACUUGCCUCUGAAAGGUACCAUGUCUAGUUGUAACCCUCAGACACUGCAGAGCAGAUAUGGAAAAUCUGUGGCCCUCUGGAUUCCAUCAGUUCCAAUCAGCAUGGCCAAUUGUCAAGAACUUAGUCAACAGCUAAAAGGUUACAGGUUUCCACCUAUUGGCAGCACCUCCACCUGAAGGUCAAAUCUUCAUCAUCAUCAUCAUCAUCAUCACCAUAUCUAGAAAAUACAUGAAGUUAAUACGCAUCAUUCCAAAAUAACAGCAUAUGACCUUGCUUGCAGGCUUACAAACAACAAUUAUAUACGUACAAUUGCCCUUGACUUUGCAAAGCAAAGUAUGAAGUCAGAUUUAAACUGUACAUACAUUCUGAGAAUUUAGGAAUGUGGGAUAAACUACUGUGAAUAUCAAAAUAUAUAACACUAGUAAUUCCCCCUGCUUUUUUAUUUUCUGCAAAGAGUUCUGGGUUCAGGAGAAGGAAGGGAAACUCAGAACUCACUGGGUGACUUUGAGCAUUCCUCUCCACCGAUCUUCAAGCUAUGCUAAAUCACAUGAUUUUUGUGACGAUCAAAUAGAGGUUUGCUGUUCACUGUUAGAACAUGAAUAUAAAUAGUAAUACCAUACACUAAAACCAAGUUGUUCGUGGCUGUGGGCUUUAUGUUAGGGUGGGAGGAGGGAUUGUGAUGAACUUUCAUGUGAUGUCCAUUUAUCAGGUAGAAAAAGAGCAUUCAAAUGCAGACAGGCUACCAUUGACUAAUCACCCCUUUCUCUAUCUGGGCCUGUUAGUUCCAUGCCCAUCUGAGCAACUCCUGACCCAUUUCAGGAGAAAAUUGAGGUUAAAGGGCUGUCUCCUUCGUGGUAGGCCCUGCCAAGUUAAAACAAACCUUGCCUCCCUGGAGUUCAUUUUAUGUAAACUCCUUCUUGCUUUAAACGUCAAUUUGAAGCAUGGUUCCAGGCAUUAGAUCAUCCCUUGGUGGGCAGGAAGGCAGGGAAGCAUCUGUUAUUAAAGUCUGGUGUUCUGAUAAGUGAAACACAUGGCUUCUUUUCAUAUAAAAAAGGGUGGGGGGAGAGAGAGAAAGACAGUGUCAUUUGUUUCUUAUCUGCCUCCUCCUUUCAGUGAAGAUCUAAGCAUCUUAGAAAAAUGCUUACUUGUUAUUGGAAAGUGGGUGUGGGGGAAGUAUGGGAUAAUAGUAGGUGAUAUGCUUUUCAUCCCAUAACAAGAACUCUAAGUAAGCUAGGGAAGCCGGAUCCCCAGAUAUCUUGCACUUUCAAUGAUCCCUUUAUUUUUCUAGGGGAAAAAUCGUGCUGGAACUCAACAUGAACGUCUCCCUUGUAAAACAGUGCCUCCAAGUCCCACCCCAGCAAGGCAGUCCAGAAGGGUACCAUUGCUGAUAAUAUUGAAGGCUACUGAGAGGUCAGUCAGUUUUAUUGCACAUAGCCAAAGGCUGCUGCAAGGUACACAGAAUCAUUUGACAAUUAAAAGAAAAUAUACUGGAU
This is a non-coding RNA of Podarcis lilfordi (Lilford's wall lizard), 15775 nucleotides long. Lineage: Eukaryota; Metazoa; Chordata; Lepidosauria; Squamata; Lacertidae. The record is from the annotation of a GenBank genome assembly.